This is a non-coding RNA of Oryzias latipes (Japanese medaka), 82 nucleotides long. Lineage: Eukaryota; Metazoa; Chordata; Actinopteri; Beloniformes; Adrianichthyidae. The record is from Rfam.
GUCAGGAUGGCCGAGUGGUCCAAGGCACUGCGUUCAGGUUGCAGUCUCAGAAGAGGUGUAGGUUCAAAUCCCACUUCUGACA